RNAcentral lists this ribosomal RNA (429 nucleotides) under uncultured archaeon. Its description in RNAcentral is "bacterial SSU rRNA". It matches the Rfam family "Archaeal small subunit ribosomal RNA", at positions 474 to 903 of the family's 1478-position model. The record is from RNAcentral.
UACCUGCAGCUCGAGUGGUAACCGUUAUUAUUGGGCCUAAAGCGUCCGUAGCCGGUUUGGUAAAUAUCUGGGUAAAUCGUGAGGCUUAACUUCACGAAUUUCGGAUAGACUGCCAGACUUGGGAUCGGGGGAGGUCAGAGGUACUCCAGGGGUAGCGGUGAAAUGUUGUAAUCCUUGGAGGACCACCGGUAGCGAAGGCGUCUGACUAGAACGAGUCCGACGGUGAGGGACGAAGCCCUGGGGCGCAAACCGGAUUAGAUACCCGGGUAGUCCAGGGUGUAAACGAUGUGGGCUUUGUAUUGGAGGUCCCACGUGGGCGUCCAGUGCAGAAGAGAAGUUGUUAAGCCCACCGCCUGGGAAGUACGGUCGCAAGGCUGAAACUUAAAGGAAUUGGCGGGGGAGCACAGCAACGGGAGGAGCGUGCGGUUU